Molecule: long non-coding RNA, 106 nt
Organism: Sebastes umbrosus (honeycomb rockfish)
Lineage: Eukaryota; Metazoa; Chordata; Actinopteri; Perciformes; Sebastidae
Exons: 3
Source: RefSeq, a predicted model, not a curated record
AUGGGCUGGAGACUGGAAAAAUAUGACACAGUCUCACAGCAGGUUGUGAAAUAGUCACGAAAAUGUAAUCCAUUUGAUUCGUGUACGUAGACACAAAUUUCGCCUU